Molecule: non-coding RNA, 47 nt
Organism: Takifugu rubripes (torafugu)
Lineage: Eukaryota; Metazoa; Chordata; Actinopteri; Tetraodontiformes; Tetraodontidae
Source: Rfam
CAAAAGGCUCUUUUCAGAGCCACCACAGCACCUGAGGUCACAUUCCU